RNAcentral lists this ribosomal RNA (465 nucleotides) under uncultured bacterium. RNAcentral describes it as "partial 16S ribosomal RNA". It matches the Rfam family "Bacterial small subunit ribosomal RNA", at positions 338 to 795 of the family's 1533-position model. The record is from RNAcentral.
CCUACGGGAGGCUGCAGUAGGGAAUCUUCCACAAUGGACGAAAGUCUGAUGGAGCAACGCCGCGUGAGUGAAGAAGGGUUUCGGCUCGUAAAGCUCUGUUGGUAGUGAAGAAAGAUAGAGGUAGUAACUGGCCUUUAUUUGACGGUAAUUACUUAGAAAGUCACGGCUAACUACGUGCCAGCAGCCGCGGUAAUACGUAGGUGGCAAGCGUUGUCCGGAUUGAUUGGGCGUAAAGCGAGUGCAGGCGGUUCAAUAAGUCUGAUGUGAAAGCCUUCGGCUCAACCGGAGAAUUGCAUCAGAAACUGUUGAACGUGAGUGCAGAAGAGGAGAGUGGAACUCCAUGUGUAGCGGUGGAAUGCGUAGAUAUAUGGAAGAACACCAGUGGCGAAGGCGGCUCUCUGGUCUGCAACUGACGCCGAGGCUCGAAAGCAUGGGUAGCGAACAGGAUUAGAUACCCCAGUAGUC